GUUCGUUUUCUUCAGCAGCGGUCUAGGCGCGGAACCCGGGCCUUCCACCGUCGACCGCGCUGUCCUCUCGUUUCUUGCCCUGCUCUCGUUGCCGUCCCCGCGCCGCUCCUUCGGAGAAAGUGCGGGCCUCCCCUCCGGCCCGACGCCAGGCGUGAUCCCACCGCGAAGGAAGCGAAAACGCCCGCCGCCCUUCUCGCAGCGUUGCUCUCCGCAGCCAGCUUGGCUUUUCUUAAUAACACACAGUUGAUUGAGCACCUUAUGAUGUAUCAAGUUACGUGCCAGGUACUAGGAAUACAAAAUGGAGUGUGACAAGCUCUUGGACCUCAAAGAGUUCACGGUUUAGUUGGAGAGAUCGACAGAAACUGAUACUUUAAAGACCAGUUUGGUUAAUGGAUGAAUGUAGUGAGAACAGCGGCUGAAAUGAGCACUGAAUUCCAUAGGAAUGCCUGGGAAAGGCGUUCGGGAAAGGGAGAAUGAGUCGUUUGCUUUCUCUUACUGAUGAAAUUGGCUUUGUCAGUGACGUGAGGUAAUUUCUUUUGACUAUGUUUAUGGUAUAUUUUUCCAUAGAGUUUUUUAGUGUAAAUGGUUUUUUUUUUCUCAGAACUCCAGGGAUUUGCUUCCCACACAAGAUUUUCAGCAGCCUUAAUUGGGUUUCCUACUUCCACUGUUGCAUUUCUGUGAUAUGUUGCCCACACAGCAAAUCAGAAUGAUCUUUUCGGUUAGUUUUGGGGUUUGGUUUGUCAAAGGGUGAUGAGACAACCGUCCAACAUGUGAAUUAAAAAAGACAAAACUGGAGUUACUGCGUACUCUUGUAAGGGAGAGCUGUGUGGGUAUGCACAGUGUCACCAAGCAGAGCAGGCCGUGGAUCCUGUAUAGGACUUACAGGAAGUACAGGGUUCAGAGACAGGUACAUUUAGGAGGCAAAGGGUUGGGCGUCAUCUGUCUAACUGCACUGGCUAAUACCUCCAGUUCAGCGUUAGAUAGCAGUGGAAAUAGUGCACAUUCUUACCUUGGACCUGGGUAAAUGCUAAACAAACAAAAAAGGGGGAGACGGGAACGCUCUUCCUUACAGUGGAGACCCAACUAACAAAUGUAGAAGGAACGAUGGAGGUAAAACAUCACAAUUUAGCAACCAUCAUAGUACUGAUUCAGGCAAGAAUCAUCAAUGUUUGCUGAAAUUAGUGGGUGAAAUUUUGAGGAGGGGUAAGAUACAUAUAUAGUCUCAAAGUAUCUCUUCACAAGACACUUAUUAA
Molecule: long non-coding RNA, 1253 nt
Organism: Aethalodelphis obliquidens (Pacific white-sided dolphin)
Lineage: Eukaryota; Metazoa; Chordata; Mammalia; Artiodactyla; Delphinidae
Exons: 2
Source: RefSeq, a predicted model, not a curated record